Molecule: ribosomal RNA, 468 nt
Filed under: uncultured bacterium
Lineage: Bacteria
Description: partial 16S ribosomal RNA
Rfam family: Bacterial small subunit ribosomal RNA
Source: RNAcentral
GACGAACGCUGGCGGCGUGCUUAGCACAUGCAAGUCGAACGGAAAGGCCCUGCUUUUGUGGGGUGCUCGAGUGGCGAACGGGUGAGUAACACGUGAGUAACCUGCCCUUGACUUUGGGAUAACUUCAGGAAACUAGGGCUAAUACCGGAUAGGAGCUCCUGCUGCAUGGUGGGGGUUGGAAAGUUUCGGCGGUUGGGGAUGGACUCGCGGCUUAUCAGCUUGUUGGUGGGGUAGUGGCUUACCAAGGCUUUGACGGGUAGCCGGCCUGAGAGGGUGACCGGCCACAUUGGGACUGAGAUACGGCCCAGACUCCUACGGGAGGCAGCAGUGGGGAAUAUUGCACAAUGGGCGGAAGCCUGAUGCAGCAACGCCGCGUGCGGGAUGACGGCCUUCGGGUUGUAAACCGCUUUCGCCUGUGACGAAGCGUGAGUGACGGUAAUGGGUAAAGAAGCACCGGCUAACUACGUG